Molecule: ribosomal RNA, 251 nt
Filed under: uncultured bacterium
Lineage: Bacteria
Description: partial 16S ribosomal RNA
Rfam family: Bacterial small subunit ribosomal RNA
Source: RNAcentral
UACAGGGGUGCAAACGUUGCUCGGAAUCAUUGGGCGUAAAGCGCACGUAGGCGGUCUGUUAUGUCGGAUGUGAAAGCCCUUGGCUCAACUGAGGAAGUGCAUCCGAAACUGGCAGGCUAGAGUACUAAAGAGGGUCGCGGAAUUCCCGGUGUAGAGGUGAAAUUCGUAGAUAUCGGGAGGAACACCGGUGGCGAAGGCGGCGACCUGGGUAGAUACUGACGCUGAGGUGCGAAAGCGUGGGGAGCAACAGG